Molecule: ribosomal RNA, 358 nt
Filed under: uncultured Rhodoferax sp.
Lineage: Bacteria; Pseudomonadati; Pseudomonadota; Betaproteobacteria; Burkholderiales; Comamonadaceae
Description: bacterial SSU rRNA
Rfam family: Bacterial small subunit ribosomal RNA
Source: RNAcentral
GAGAGCCGUAACACAGGUGGCUGCAUGGCUGUCGUCAGCUCGUGUCGUGAGAUGUUGGGUUAAGUCCGCAACGAGCGCAACCCUUGUCAUUAGUUGCUACAUUCAGUUGGGCACUCUAAUGAGACUGCCGGUGACAAGCCGGAGGAAGGUGGGGAUGACGUCAAGUCCUCAUGGCCCUUAUAGGUGGGGCUACACACGUCAUACAAUGGCUGGUACAAAGGGUUGCCAACCCGCGAGGGGGAGCCAAUCCCAUAAAGCCAGUCGUAGUCCGGAUCGUAGUCUGCAACUCGACUACGUGAAGUCGGAAUCGCUAGUAAUCGUGGAUCAGAAUGUCACGGUGAAUACGUUCCCGGGUCUU